UUUAAUCGAAAUGUCCACUGU
Molecule: non-coding RNA, 21 nt
Filed under: Caenorhabditis elegans
Lineage: Eukaryota; Metazoa; Nematoda; Chromadorea; Rhabditida; Rhabditidae
Source: RNAcentral